This is a long non-coding RNA of Rhinopithecus roxellana (golden snub-nosed monkey), 701 nucleotides long. RefSeq lists it as uncharacterized. The record is from RefSeq and is a predicted model, not a curated record. NCBI's taxonomy places the organism in Eukaryota, Metazoa, Chordata, Mammalia, Primates, Cercopithecidae. The transcript is spliced from 2 exons.
UUUACUGUGAAUUAGAGUUAAAAAUCCAUAAUUGCCAUUCAGUUAAUACCAGUUUCAUCAUUAUUACUGAAGAGGUGCUGAAGUGAAUUUUCUUGCUACAGAGAGGUGGGAAGGUGACACAAACAGGUGUUCCGCUGGUAAUCCCCAUCGAGUGACUGGAUGAUCUGUAAAAGAGGAAAACAACCCGGCCAGAGUCAGGGGCGGCCAGCAGAUGGCCCUGUGGAGCGCCGCCUGACCCCCGAGCAAGCUGCGUGCCCCAAGGACCUGCCCCAAGGACCUGCCCCGAGAUCACAUGCCUCUCUGCCACUCACUCUGGAGACCAGAAACCUCGAGGUGCCGUCUUCACUUGGCUCCUCUCUCACGCAGCCUCGAUGGAGAAGGUGGGUCCCCGGCGUGGGGGCCCCAGGAGGCAGAGGGCUCUCUGUACGGGAGGUUCCGUAGAGCACCUAAGGAAGCCGUGCGCCUGGCUCUUCCGUUCCAGCUCUUCCCUACAUCUUCUUUCACGCUGCAGCGGAAACCAGAAUGCCUAUAAUUCCUUCAGAACCAAAGGCUCAAGCGGCGCUACCUAUGUGUUCGCUUCUUACAUCCCCCGGACGUCGCUGCAAUUCCACACGACAGCCCUUAUCUGAGAAUUCUUUCAAGUUUGCCAAAUGUCCUCUACCAUAGAAACACCUCAAUUAAAAUAAGAGUUUCCAAACUGU